Molecule: ribosomal RNA, 253 nt
Filed under: uncultured bacterium
Lineage: Bacteria
Description: partial 16S ribosomal RNA
Rfam family: Bacterial small subunit ribosomal RNA
Source: RNAcentral
UACGGAGGGGACUAGCGUUGUUCGGAAUUACUGGGCGUAAAGCGCACGUAGGCGGAUUUGUAAGUCAGGGGUGAAAUCCCGGGGCUCAACCUCGGAACUGCCUUUGAUACUGCAGAUCUCGAGUCCGGAAGAGGUGAGUGGAAUUCCUAGUGUAGAGGUGAAAUUCGUAGAUAUUAGGAAGAACACCAGUGGCGAAGGCGGCUCACUGGUCCGGUACUGACGCUGAGGUGCGAAAGCGUGGGGAGCAAACAGG